RNAcentral lists this unclassified non-coding RNA (336 nucleotides) under soil metagenome. RNAcentral describes it as "partial contains 5.8S ribosomal RNA, internal transcribed spacer 2, and large subunit ribosomal RNA". The stretch from base 1 to 120 matches the Rfam family "5.8S ribosomal RNA", at positions 35 to 154 of the family's 154-position model. The record is from RNAcentral.
GAUGAAGAACGUAGUGAAAUGCGAUAAGUAAUGCGAAUUGCAGAAUUCAGUGAAUCAUCGAAUCUUUGAACGCACAUUGCGCCCAUUAGUAUUCUAGUGGGCAUGCCUGUUCGAGCGUCAUUUCAACCCUCAAGCCUAGCUUAGUGUUGGGAAUCUGCUGUAUUGCAGUUCCUCAAAUACAACGGCGGAUCUGUAACAUCCUCUGAGCGUAGUAAAUUUUUAUCUCGCUUUUGUUAGGUGUUGCAGCUCUCAGCCGCUAAACCCCCCAAUUUUUGUGGUUGACCUCGGAUCAGGUAGGAAUACCCGCUGAACUUAAGCAUAUCAAUAAGCGGAGGA